This is a non-coding RNA of Pteropus alecto (black flying fox), 72 nucleotides long. Lineage: Eukaryota; Metazoa; Chordata; Mammalia; Chiroptera; Pteropodidae. The record is from Rfam.
UUCCAAAGGUGGAUUUUCCUUCUAUGUUUACAGGGUUUAUGGUUAAGCAUAGAGGAAAAUCCACAUGUUCAG